GUUGUAUGGUUAAGUGACUAAGCGUACACGGUGGAUGCCUUGGCAGUCAGAGGCGAUGAAAGGCGUAAUAACUUGCGAUAAGCCCAGAUUAGGUAGUAAUAACCUUUUGAGUCUGGGAUUCCUGAAUGGGGAAACCCACUUACAUAAGUAAGUAUCCUGUUGUGAAUACAUAGCAACAGGAGGCAAACCGGGGGAACUGAAACAUCUAAGUACCCCGAGGAAGAGAAAUCAACCGAGA
RNAcentral lists this ribosomal RNA (238 nucleotides) under Vibrio splendidus. Its description in RNAcentral is "partial 23S ribosomal RNA". It matches the Rfam family "Bacterial large subunit ribosomal RNA", at positions 1 to 234 of the family's 2925-position model. Lineage: Bacteria; Pseudomonadati; Pseudomonadota; Gammaproteobacteria; Vibrionales; Vibrionaceae. The record is from RNAcentral.